Long non-coding RNA from Mustela lutreola (European mink), 465 nucleotides. RefSeq lists it as uncharacterized. Lineage: Eukaryota; Metazoa; Chordata; Mammalia; Carnivora; Mustelidae. The record is from RefSeq and is a predicted model, not a curated record. The transcript is spliced from 4 exons.
CUCGAGCGUGGCCUUAGAUGUGGGGAAUCUGUGAACUGUGCAGUUUCUGACCCUCACUGAGUAAAUUUGGAUACAAUGCCUCUUAGGAUUUAGAUAUGGAUGAACUAAAAGCUUGGAAAAUCUGGAAAGAAGAGAAAUGGCCGGAAAACACUUCUGGUUGCCCCUAGGUAAUGGUGACACAAAGGGGAAGAAGUAAAGUUAAGGUGGUUGUACCUUCAGAAUGAAAUGAAGAACCUCAUUUGUCAACCUCAGAGUACAAGAAAGUGGAUUAGGAAGUAUGAAAACAUUAAAGAAGUCGUGUUCUAAUGGUAUUUAUUAGAGAAGUAAACCACAAGUCAUUUACUCUGAACUAGAUGGUGGUUCAUGCAGUGACCAAAGGAAAAUAUGACACUUGAUUUUCUGGAAUCGGAAACAACAGAGAAAUCAGACUUUGCAUUUUAAGUGGCUGAAGUCAGUAUCAACAGA